This 431-nucleotide ribosomal RNA is filed under the name uncultured bacterium. RNAcentral's name for it is "partial 16S ribosomal RNA". It matches the Rfam family "Bacterial small subunit ribosomal RNA", at positions 29 to 507 of the family's 1533-position model. The record is from RNAcentral.
AACGAACGCUGGCGGCAGGCCUAACACAUGCAAGUCGAGCGCCCCGCAAGGGGAGCGGCGGACGGGUGAGUACCGCGUGGGAACGUACCCUUUGCUACGGAAUAGCCUCGGGAAACUGGGAGUAAUACCGUAUGUGUCCUUCGGGAGAAAGAUUUAUCGGCAAGGGAUCGGCCCGCGUUGGAUUAGGUAGUUGGUGGGGUAAUGGCCUACCAAGCCGACGAUCCAUAGCUGGUUUGAGAGGAUGAUCAGCCACACUGGGACUGAGGCACGGCCCAGACUCCUACGGGAGGCAGCAGUGGGGAAUCUUAGACAAUGGGCGCAAGCCUGAUCUAGCCAUGCCGCGUGAGCGAUGAAGGCCUUAGGGUUGUAAAGCUCUUUCAGGGGGGAAGAUAAUGACUGUACCCCCAGAAGAAGCCCCGGCUAACUCCGUG